Long non-coding RNA from Dioscorea cayenensis subsp. rotundata (Guinea yam), 3287 nucleotides. RefSeq lists it as uncharacterized. The record is from RefSeq and is a predicted model, not a curated record. The transcript is spliced from 6 exons. NCBI's taxonomy places the organism in Eukaryota, Viridiplantae, Streptophyta, Magnoliopsida, Dioscoreales, Dioscoreaceae.
AGGGCUUCUCCGGAGAAUGAACAAGAGCCCUCGGAGCUAUACUUGGUAUUCCUCUUCCUCUCGUUUCUAGAGCCAUGCUUAGUUCUCGCCUCCUUGGGUUGCGCCGCUUCUCCAGAGCUUCUUCGAUUUCGCGCAAAUGCUGAAAAUCCAAAUGGCCAUACACAAGUGAUGGGACUUUUCAUGCUACCAUAAAGAAGUUUGAUGCAUGAAUGCUGCAAACAUUAAUCAAAGGUUCAUUAAUCCAGGUUUUCAAUCACAAUGCUCAAAAGACCAGAAUCAGAGAUAAGAGCAGGAUGAACUUUUUGACCACGUUGGGCUUCUUGUGGCCAAUGUAAAAGUACCUUAUGCAUGCUUUGUAUUAGACAAAUGAAUGGUGGGAAUAGAGAAAGCACAAGUUUAGGGGUAGUCCCUCACAAAUAGAAUCAAGUAUUGAGGAAAUGCCUAACAGCAAGUGUUGGGUGGUCUAGCCUUUUGCCAUGUGUGUGGGAAAUGGGGUGAAAGUGUGUUGCAUCAUUUAUUUAUUCUGAUUCUAGGCAAAAUACUGCUUCUCUGACUCCAUCAUCUUCCCGUCCAUCUACUGGGAAAGUACCUCUAAAUCCCCGGCGAACUACGAGCUCAGGGUCUCACUGCUCAUGUGUGUAUAAGUUUUCGAGGCUCCUUGCAACAGGUUGAUACAUGAGCCUUUAUUCCAAAAUAUGUUCCACCUCCGAACAAUGAAGUUCCACCUACUGACGAGGCCCCCAAUGGCGCUCAAAUGAAUCCUAAAGAUGAUUUUGACUCGGAAACAGAUGAAUUCCCUCAUGAGGAUACAGAGGCAUACGAUAGUGGCACGAUGCAGAAAACCUUUUUUAUCCCGUCAAGCCUAUACUAUAAUCAGGAACUAUUACACAAUAACCAUGGAGCAUUUAGAUGCCAAACUACAAGAACAACAGUCAACAGGGCUGGCCCAAUAAUCAUAAACUUUCAAUUACCCAAUAGGUAAGCUUGCAGAGCAUGCUGCAGCUUCAAGCAUUUUAUAAGCAUGUUGCUUCCAAAUGGUGAACGUGUGCCACUUAUUUGACAAAAUUUGGAGUGAAUUGUAUUUCUUGAAGUAAUUUAUAGCUUUCAUGCAUAUGCUUUGAUUAAUACAUGUUGCAUUAAAGUAGGCAAAAAGACAUAAUUUAAUGUUCUACUCAUGGCGUUUUAAAAUGGUCCAUGCAUAUAAAUCACAUUUCAAUUAUUAAAUUUUAUUUUUGUUGUGUUCUUUUACCAACCAAUGUGGAUCCUUUUCUUCCAUUGCGAGUGUUAUAGAUAACUGUGAUUUUCAGCUUAGGUGUGAUCAUCUUUAAUUUGAUGCUAUCUCAUUCCUUUCAUUGGUUGCUUAUAUGUGAUAGCCAUUUUGUUAUGAUGCCUAACAAUAAUUCAAGUAGUACAUCAAGAGAAUGCUUGCGAGUUUUAUACAAGGUUCAAAUUUUUCUAUCAACUGAUCAACCAAAUGACUGAUAGAAUAAUAGUCUUUAGAUGACUUUGGUCAGUUGUUAUUGUUGACGGAUCUCAAAUUCAAAUCAUGAUGUUUUGGAUGGCAAUAUUUUAUUGGACAUUAUAUUACUGAUUUUUAAGAACAUUAAUAUUUUGAGAUCAUGAGUAUUUCAAUUACUGAUUCUAACACCAGGAAUGAAACCUAUAUAUUGAAGGAACAGGAACUUGAUUAAUUAGAACAAUCGGUUUAAGAUCUAUAAUGUUAUUGGUCAAUUUUUGUUAUAUCCACUUACCUGAUUAGGUAUGAAGAAAUAAGUUGGCUUAUAAAAGGAUAGAUUUAUCUAACUAAUUAGGAAAAAAUAGUUUGUAUCUAAUAAGAGUUUUUCAUAUUUUUUGCUAAGUAAAUAAUUACAAUGCAAUGCUCUCUAAGAAAUAAGUUGGAAUCCUAUUUUAUCCAUAAAUGCUUCACUGAUUUGGUUAUAUAUUUGUUGUAAUUUAGUUUCUCUUCAAGUGUUUUCAUUUAUAAGCGUUGGAUAUACACCUAAAACCAACUGCUUAGGCCUAGUAAUUGGAAUUUUUGUUCAGUUCGUGGUUGAUUUUAAAUGGAACUUUUUUUUUUGCAGAUAACUUUUUUGUGAAGAAGGAUGUUGUAAGGCAACCAUAUCUCUUUCAACUUCAUAUUAACAGUUGAAACAGAAUUGACUAGUUACAGUUAUGCUUUGUUUGAAUACUAUCUAUAAUACCCUUUUGAUUUCACUCUGUAGGUUAGGCUUAUCUUAUUGUCCAUUUUAAUAAUUGCAUAUUGAAUUGAAAAUGUUUCAUUGUCUAGAAGAGGGUGAUGAUAGCUUUGUCUUGUGAUUGGUUGGUGGACUUAGAAAUGCUAAAAUAUAUUUUACAAUUUAUCAUAUAAAAGAAUCAAAUGAAACAUGCAUGUUCAUCUGUUUUCAAGCAUUCCAUUUUAAUAUUUUCAAUUGUUUUCAUCGGAGCACACACAUCUUCGGACCUUGCAGUGAAAAAUCACCUUAUGGCUGUGAAUUCCUAGAUCUCCAUGAUCUCCUUCAUCCCAUAUACCCAGAGAAAUACAAAGUUCUUUGUUUUCAAAAUAUGAAAGUUACUUUUUUUCACUCUCUAUGGUACGAAAGUUGCAACUUUCAGCCAGAAAUCUCACUGAUGUUCGGAUGUCAUGUGGUCUUAUUGGCACUUUCCAUGUCACAUAUGGCCAUCAUUCUGAUUGCUUUGUCUGCUAGCAUAUAUCAAGGUUGAAGCCAAUUCAUUUUACCAUUGCUCUAUAAGAAACAGGGACUAAUUUAGGGGUUGUACCUCCAUGAGUGAGAUUUCUAGCUGUUUUCCUUUCAAAUAAAUUAUCUUCUUAAAAAAUUUCAUUAUCCUGCUAAUCUUAUAACUUGACAUACAAUUUGGAAAUCAUGAGCCUGGAAUAGAACAACCUCUGCCUAUGUUCAUCUGAUAAUUGUUUCACCUUCUCAUCUUUUUCUCCAACAUAUUCAAACCCAAUUUAAAUGGUGUUGAAAAUCUUGAUUUAAAAGAUAAAGAAAAAGAAAAGACAAAAAAAAAUCUUUAUAUAUAUAUAUAUCUUUUGGUAUGUUUUAUAUGCCUUUUGGUGUGUAAAACAUAGCGGGUUCACUAGAAACAUGUGUCUGUGUUUAAUUUCUAUAUAGAUUCUAAGCACUAGUGGUGUUAUGAGAAAAGAAGAAAGUGGCUUAGUGGGUAAAUUAAGCAAUGGCAACUCCUCUUCUAUAUUAAUUUGUAUAAUGUAAAAUUUAAUAAUUAUCUAAUCACUUCGUUUGUUUCUUUUAUGCAUUUUGAUUAGU